Non-coding RNA from Phrynosoma platyrhinos (Desert horned lizard), 72 nucleotides. Lineage: Eukaryota; Metazoa; Chordata; Lepidosauria; Squamata; Phrynosomatidae. The record is from the annotation of a GenBank genome assembly.
GGUAGUGUGGUGUAGUGGUUUGAACAUUGGAUUGCAACUCUAGAAGCCAGGGUUGGAAUCUCUAUUCAGCCA